AGCCCCCCUCAAGAUGAGAUUUCCCAUCGCGUCAAGCGAGUAAGAUCCCUUGAAGAUGACAAGGUAGAUAGGUCCGAGGUGGAAGCGUGGCGACACGUGCAGCUGACGGAUACUAAUCGAUCGAGGACUUAACUAAA
Molecule: ribosomal RNA, 137 nt
Filed under: Anoxybacillus flavithermus
Lineage: Bacteria; Bacillati; Bacillota; Bacilli; Caryophanales; Anoxybacillaceae
Description: partial 23S ribosomal RNA
Rfam family: Bacterial large subunit ribosomal RNA
Source: RNAcentral